Molecule: ribosomal RNA, 161 nt
Filed under: Hordeum muticum
Lineage: Eukaryota; Viridiplantae; Streptophyta; Magnoliopsida; Poales; Poaceae
Also listed under: 2 other names
Description: 5.8S ribosomal RNA
Rfam family: 5.8S ribosomal RNA
About the family: 5.8S ribosomal RNA (5.8S rRNA) is a component of the large subunit of the eukaryotic ribosome. It is transcribed by RNA polymerase I as part of the 45S precursor that also contains 18S and 28S rRNA.
Source: RNAcentral
AUGACUCUCGGCAACGGAUAUCUCGGCUCUCGCAUCGAUGAAGAACGUAGCGAAAUGCGAUACCUGGUGUGAAUUGCAGAAUCCCGCGAACCAUCGAGUCUUUGAACGCAAGUUGCGCCCGAGGCCAUUCGGCCGAGGGCACGCCUGCCUGGGCGUCACGC